RNAcentral lists this unclassified non-coding RNA (252 nucleotides) under uncultured Paenibacillaceae bacterium. RNAcentral describes it as "contains 16S-23S intergenic spacer region". It matches the Rfam family "Bacterial small subunit ribosomal RNA", at positions 524 to 776 of the family's 1533-position model. The record is from RNAcentral. Lineage: Bacteria; Bacillati; Bacillota; Bacilli; Caryophanales; Paenibacillaceae.
UACGGAGGGGGCUAGCGUUGUCCGGAAUUAUUGGGCGUAAAGCGCGCGCAGGCGGUCAUGUAAGUCUGGUGUUUAAGCCCAGGGCUCAACCCUGGUACGCAUCGGAAACUGUGUGACUUGAGUGCAGGAGAGGAGAGUGGAAUUCCACGUGUAGCGGUGAAAUGCGUAGAUAUGUGGGGGAACACCAGUGGCGAAGGCGACUCUCUGGCCUGUAACUGACGCUGAGGCGCGAAAGCGUGGGGAGCGAACAGG